AGCCCUAGAAAAAAUCUAAGGUGAUGCCUGCCCUAUGGUUAAUUUAAUUUUCUAAUGAAAAAAAUACUUUACUAAAUGGCCGCAGUAUUCCUGACUGUGUUAAGGUAGCACAAUAAAUUGCCGCUUAAUUGGCGGAUUGUAUGAAUGGUAAUACGAGAAUUUCACUGUCUCAAAUGUAAAAAUAAAAAAAUUGAAAUAGUAGUUAAGAUGCUACUUUAAAACGUAAGACGAUAAGACCCUAUAAAGCUUAACUAUAAUUCAUAAUUAUAUGUAUAUAAUUAUGAAUUGGUAGUUUACUUGGGGCAAGGACUUUUUAGAAAUAAAAAAAGUAAGCAAUAAUAAUAUAACAUUUAUUGUAUAAAUAAUUAUUUUAACAAUUACAAUGUAGGCUAUAAUGACCCGUUUACUCUUGAAAAUAAGGUAAACAAUUAUUAAAUAAAAGCUACUUUAGGGAUAACAGGAUAAUUUUAUCAAAGAGACCAUAUCGCUGAUAAAGUUUGUCACCUCGAUGUUGAAUUAAGAUUUCCUAGUAGAGCAGAGACUACUAAAGGUAGGUCUGUUCGACCUUUAAAUAUCUUA
RNAcentral lists this ribosomal RNA (579 nucleotides) under Plumularia mooreana. Its description in RNAcentral is "partial 16S ribosomal RNA". It matches the Rfam family "Bacterial large subunit ribosomal RNA", at positions 1817 to 2598 of the family's 2925-position model. Lineage: Eukaryota; Metazoa; Cnidaria; Hydrozoa; Leptothecata; Plumulariidae. The record is from RNAcentral.